This 72-nucleotide transfer RNA is filed under the name Ovis aries (sheep). It matches the Rfam family "tRNA". Rfam says of the family: Transfer RNA (tRNA) molecules are approximately 80 nucleotides in length. Their secondary structure includes four short double-helical elements and three loops (D, anti-codon, and T loops). Further hydrogen bonds mediate the characteristic L-shaped molecular structure. tRNAs have two regions of fundamental functional importance: the anti-codon, which is responsible for specific mRNA codon recognition, and the 3' end, to which the tRNAs corresponding amino acid is attached (by aminoacyl-tRNA synthetases). tRNAs cope with the degeneracy of the genetic code in two manners: having more than one tRNA (with a specific anti-codon) for a particular amino acid; and 'wobble' base-pairing, i.e. permitting non-standard base-pairing at the 3rd anti-codon position. Lineage: Eukaryota; Metazoa; Chordata; Mammalia; Artiodactyla; Bovidae. The record is from Rfam by way of RNAcentral.
UCCCUAGUGGCUCAGAGGGUAAAGAAUCUGCCUGCAAUGCUGGAGACCUAGGUUCAAUCCCUGGUCUGGGAA